AUAUAUGUGUGUGUGUGUGUGUGUGUGUGUGUGUGUACACACACACACACACACACACACACACUGCAAAAUGAAUUU
This 78-nucleotide microRNA precursor is filed under the name Podarcis lilfordi (Lilford's wall lizard). Lineage: Eukaryota; Metazoa; Chordata; Lepidosauria; Squamata; Lacertidae. The record is from RNAcentral.